AGUCGAGCGGUAAGGCUUUCACAGAUUAUUUGAACUUAAUAAGUCCAUUUAUGGAUACUGUUUGAAGAAAAUUUCACUAGGCUAGUGAAAUUUGUCGAAUAAUGUGUGAAAGUACACGAGCGGCGGACGGCUGAGUAACGCGUAGGAACGUACCCCAAAGUGAGGGAUAAGCACCGGAAACGGUGUCUAAUACCGCAUGUGAUCUAAGGAUUAAAGCCUUCGGGCGCUUUGGGAGCGGCCUGCGUAUGAUUAGUU
RNAcentral lists this ribosomal RNA (255 nucleotides) under uncultured bacterium. RNAcentral's name for it is "partial 16S ribosomal RNA". The stretch from base 94 to 255 matches the Rfam family "Bacterial small subunit ribosomal RNA", at positions 61 to 246 of the family's 1533-position model. The record is from RNAcentral.